This 253-nucleotide ribosomal RNA is filed under the name uncultured bacterium. RNAcentral describes it as "partial 16S ribosomal RNA". It matches the Rfam family "Bacterial small subunit ribosomal RNA", at positions 524 to 776 of the family's 1533-position model. The record is from RNAcentral.
UACGUAGGGAGCAAGCGUUGUCCGGAAUCAUUGGGCGUAAAGAGCGCGUAGGCGGCCGUGUAAGUCCGCUCUGAAAGUCAAAGGCUCAACCUUUGAAAGCGGGUGGAUACUGCACGGCUAGAGUCCGGAAGAGGCGAGUGGAAUUCCUGGUGUAGCGGUGGAAUGCGCAGAUAUCAGGAGGAACACCAACGGCGAAGGCAGCUCGCUGGGACGGUACUGACGCUGAGAAGCGAAAGCAUGGGGAGCGAACAGG